Molecule: long non-coding RNA, 2104 nt
Organism: Uranotaenia lowii
Lineage: Eukaryota; Metazoa; Arthropoda; Insecta; Diptera; Culicidae
Exons: 3
Source: RefSeq, a predicted model, not a curated record
AUGUCUUUCAAAUUUUACACGUCUGUUGAAGUUUAUAGACGUGUAAUAUUCAACUCGCACUGAAAAUUCCAUCAUAUGUGAUGCUUCUUUUUUGUUCCAUCAUAUGUGAUGUAAUUUUACAACUUUUUUUUGGUCAUACAAAAUAAUCAACAACACUGAAUUGGAAAUUUCUUAAAAUUACACGACAUGAAAUAUUACAAUACACUGAACGUGAUAAUGUCAUGUAAAAUUAUAAACAGUGAAGAACAGGACCAGACAAAUGUGAGAAAAACUGUUAAGUCAAGUCGUGCGCCAAAGUAUUUUCCCCGCGUGCGAGUACGUUAAUCGGUUUUGAUGGUUCCCGGAGAUCUUCGAGAAGCAGGGAUGCGGUUCAGGAAGCGGAUCCACGUUGCUCAACUUUGAAUCCGGUACGUCGGGGAAGAAAAUAAAAGUAAUUAAACUUAUGUGUGAGAUAAAAAAAUUUGUAUCCUAAUAAAAUGAAUUAUAUUAAUUAUAGAAGGAUUUCUAUUUUUACUAAGAGACGAGAAAAUUCCAGUAUUGAAUCAUAUUAACGAUAAAUAAAACAAAACAAAAAUCCAAUUGGAUUGUUUUUCUUCCAAUAUUCAGUGAUUUUAUAAUUUACAUCAUUUUUAAUUUACACGUUGCUAAAUUUUACAUCAUUUUUUAUUUUACACGCUGCAAAAUUUUACUGACGUGUAAUUUCCAACUGGCACUGAAUACUCCGUCAUAUAUGAUGCUUCUUUUUAUUUACAUCAUAUGUGAUGUAAUUUUACAGAUUUUUUUGGUAGUGUGUACACAGCAAAAAAAUAUGAAUCUAUAACAGCACUGAAACAAGAAAACCAUUAUUUUACAUGACACAGAAUGCGAUUUUCUUAUGUAAUUUUACAAAACAAAAAUAAUUGAACCGUUUUAAGCACUGAGAUUGAAUCACACGAAUAAUACAUGACAUAGAACAAGAUUUUGUAAUGUAAAAUUACGUCAUUUAUGAUGCUUCUUUUUAUUUACAUCAUAUGUGAUGUAAUUUGACAGAUUAUUUUUGUAUACACAAAACAAUUUGAACCCUUAAUAGCACUGAACAAAAGAUUUCCCAAAAAUUACAUGACAUGCAACACUAUACGACAUUGAAUUUUAAUUUGAUGAAUAUUACAUUACAUUGAACGCUAUUUUGUUAUGUAUAAUUACAGAUUGUUGAAAAUAGACAGCAAUUCGUUGUAAGAAAGUGGUCUCAUUGAAAAACUUGUUUCAUAUUGUUUCGACAAAUUUAUUAGCUCGUUUUCUUUCACGAUUAGCACUUCCGUGUGAUAUUUUCGCAGUGGUUUGUAAUAAUUUAAGUAUAGCGGCACGGACGACGGACUUUGACAGCAGCUCCCGUUUUCGUUUUGUUUAUUGGCGAUUUGCAGCUCGAAACGACUCUCAGAGGGCCCUGCGAUCAAAAGGGUGAUAUUAUGUAUUGAAACGUCAAGACACAUAGUAUUUUUCCAAAACAAACGGGAAAAUUUCAAAAUUUCGGUGUUGAGAGUAGAAUUUAUCAAGAUUGGAUUACAGAGUAAGGUUGUAGAAAAUUGUGUUGUUCCAAGUUGCAACAGCGAGGAAAACCUACCCGAAAUCAUAAUAUUUUCAGUCUAGAGCAUAAAGGAGUUUCUUGGAAUUAAUGAUUAAUCACUCGUAAGAUCCACGCAGAAUCUCGAAGAAUAUUUUUGCACAAAAAAUAAAACGCAACAAUAACGAGCAAAUGGAUUACAAGAGCAAAAAGAAGUUCGCGUAUGUGGACGAUCGGAGGAAAUAAAUUGGAGAGCACCGAAUGGCAAUUGCCGAAAUUGAAGAAAGUGCGUUAAACUAUCAUUGAUAGGCAUAUCACUAUUCGAUGUUGAUGCAUUGCAGAUCUAUAGCAGGAUAAACUUUAUUCCUUCAUAAAAGAAGAACCAUCCUGCAAAACUGUCAUUAACAUGGUAUAAUUAAUAUGAGAUGUUGAGAAUUUAACCAAGCGAUGUAGAUGUUUGUUAAAAUUAUUCAAUCAAAAUUUAAAAAAAAUAAUCUAGAUAUAAAAAUGCAAAUUGUCUACACAUUACUUAACACAUAUAUUUAAAAUUAUUAAAUCGUUGCA